GUGGCAGCUCUCAUCUAAAGGUUCAGGUGUGUUGCUGUAUGCAGGCCUGGUUCUCCUUUUUCUAAUUGUCAUAUUAGCCGCAGCUGUGAUCAUUUUCUGGAGGAACAGCAAACCAAAAAAGGUUAUAGUACAAUUAGAUGAAAAUGAGAUGACUCCGGUGUAUGAGGAGAUCGGAGAUGAGACCACACAGAACAGCCCUCCUGCUGUUUCCAUCAUUUAUUCCAGUGUUAGUUUCACCAAAAAAAAUGAAGCUGAAACUACAGACAUCUACAGUUUGGCCACCAGUCCAACUUCCUGCACUGAGUAAAAGUGAGUAAAAGUUUAUCUUUAAUUGAAGAAAAUAAAUCAACUUACCUUUAACACCUCGCUGAAACAUGCCAUUUUUUUUCACAUUCAACAUUUUUCACAAACUCUUUUUCGGUAAAUUUUUUAUCAAAAUGCUUUUAUUUGAUG
Molecule: long non-coding RNA, 453 nt
Organism: Cynoglossus semilaevis (tongue sole)
Lineage: Eukaryota; Metazoa; Chordata; Actinopteri; Pleuronectiformes; Cynoglossidae
Exons: 4
Source: RefSeq, a predicted model, not a curated record